CUCAAUUUGACUCAACGCGGGAAACCUUACUCGGCCAGGACACUUUUAGGAUUGACAGAUUGAGAGCUCUUUCUUGAUUAGGUGGGUGGUGGUGCAUGGUCGUUCGUAGUUCGUGGAGCGAUUUGCCUGAUUAAUUUCGAUAACGAACGAGACUCCGGCUUACUAAAUAGUCUAAGUUCGAAGGGACUUUUCAAGACUUCUUAGCAGGAUAAGUGGCACCUCUUAAGCCACACGAAAUGGAGCAAUAA
This 248-nucleotide ribosomal RNA is filed under the name uncultured marine eukaryote. RNAcentral describes it as "partial 18S ribosomal RNA". It matches the Rfam family "Eukaryotic small subunit ribosomal RNA", at positions 1189 to 1456 of the family's 1831-position model. The record is from RNAcentral.